Molecule: ribosomal RNA, 507 nt
Filed under: Arthrobacter echini
Lineage: Bacteria; Bacillati; Actinomycetota; Actinomycetes; Micrococcales; Micrococcaceae
Description: bacterial SSU rRNA
Rfam family: Bacterial small subunit ribosomal RNA
Source: RNAcentral
UGGGCGCAAGCCUGAUGCAGCGACGCCGCGUGAGGGAUGAAGGCCUUCGGGUUGUAAACCUCUUUCAGUAGGGAAGAAGCCGGCCCUUUGGGUUGGUGACGGUACCUGCAGAAGAAGCGCCGGCUAACUACGUGCCAGCAGCCGCGGUAAUACGUAGGGCGCAAGCGUUAUCCGGAAUUAUUGGGCGUAAAGAGCUCGUAGGCGGUUUGUCGCGUCUGCCGUGAAAGUCCGGGGCUUAACUCCGGAUCUGCGGUGGGUACGGGCAGACUAGAGUGCAGUAGGGGAGACUGGAAUUCCUGGUGUAGCGGUGAAAUGCGCAGAUAUCAGGAGGAACACCGAUGGCGAAGGCAGGUCUCUGGGCUGUAACUGACGCUGAGGAGCGAAAGCAUGGGGAGCGAACAGGAUUAAAUACCCUGGUAGUCCAUGCCGUAAACGUUGGGCACUAGGUGUGGGGGACAUUCCACGUUUUCCGCGCCGUAGCUAACGCAUUAAGUGCCCCGCCUGGGG